Long non-coding RNA from Helianthus annuus (common sunflower), 406 nucleotides. RefSeq lists it as uncharacterized. Lineage: Eukaryota; Viridiplantae; Streptophyta; Magnoliopsida; Asterales; Asteraceae. The record is from RefSeq and is a predicted model, not a curated record. The transcript has 3 exons.
UUCUACUCACGAUUCUGCACGAUUCACCGCUCCCUCAUGAUUCUGGUUAGACGAUUUGAUUAACAAGGUGCCGAUUCUGCUUAAACUUCAUUGAUCCUGGUUAAUCGACGAUUUGUUAAUUUUGUCUCUCUGGUUGAUACAGAUUCGUUCAAAAAUCAAGAUUUGGGGUUUAGAUGUUGUUGUUUGGUUUUUGUUGAUGCAAUGUGUGUGUGUUUGUGUUUUUCCGGUGGCCGUUCUUCGCAAUCUCGCUGAUAGGGUAGCAUAUGAUUCACGACAUCCUCCUUUUCAAUAUGUUGCAGCAAGUGAGGAUUUAUAGGUUGAUCUGGUUUUACCUAAUUUUGGUUCUGUUUAAUUAGUUGAAGAUAAGUUAAGUUUUUUUGAUGAUAUUUUUUGUUGAAUUGUAGGC